GAUUAAAUUAGUAUAAUUUUAUAAAUAAUAUUUAUAAUUUAGGCAAAAAAAAUUUUCACCUGUUUAUCAAAAACAUGUCUUUUAGAAAGAAUUAAAAGUCUAAUCUGCCCAAUGAUUUAAAAUUAAAUGGCCGCGGUAAAUUGACCGUGCAAAGGUAGCAUAAUAAAUAGUCUUUUAAUUGGAGGCUUGAAUGAAUGAUUGAAUGAAAAAUUAACUUAAUUAGUGUUAAUAAUUGAAAUUGAUUUUUAAGUAAAAAAGCUUAAAUAUAUAAGUGGGACGAGAAGACCCUAUAGAAUUUUGAAAAUUUUCUUGAGUUUACUAAUUUGUAGUUAAUUAAUUUUUUUUAUUUAAUUAAUUUUUUUGUUGGGGUGAUGUUAAAAUAGAAUUAACUUUUAAUAAAUAUUUCAUUAAUAUAUGUUUUUAUUGAUCCAAAUUUUUGAUUAUAAGAAUAAAUUACCUUAGGGAUAACAGCGUAAUUAAUUUGAAGAGUUCAUAUCGAUAAAUAAGAUUGCGACCUCGAUGUUGGAUUAAGAAUAGGAAUUGGAGCAAAAUUUAUUAUUUCUGGGUCUGUUCGACCUUUAAUAUUCUUACAUGAUCUGAGUUCAGACCGGCGUGAGCCAGGUUGGUUUCUAUCUACUUAACUAUUUUUAAUGCUAGUACGAAAGGACCUCAUUAAAUAAUAUUAUUAU
Molecule: ribosomal RNA, 689 nt
Filed under: Rhodopsalta cruentata
Lineage: Eukaryota; Metazoa; Arthropoda; Insecta; Hemiptera; Cicadidae
Description: partial 16S ribosomal RNA
Rfam family: Bacterial large subunit ribosomal RNA
Source: RNAcentral